This 264-nucleotide long non-coding RNA is filed under the name Salmo trutta (river trout). RNAcentral describes it as "lncRNA (ENSSTUG00000043577.1)". The record is from RNAcentral. Lineage: Eukaryota; Metazoa; Chordata; Actinopteri; Salmoniformes; Salmonidae.
GGAUGGAGGGCUGCUCACUCCACUGCCAACACAUCUGAACAGACACUGCUACACAGAGGAUAAGAAAGGGUAUCGCCAUCCAUCUCACAGAGGCCACAAAUCUGCUCCUCCACUCCUCACGACUGAAUAGGGUGAGCCAGCAGCCGAAAACGAGCAAACUUGAGGAUGGGGAGAAACCAGAGGGAUUGCGAAUGAGUUGGCAGGUGAGAGCAAAAUGAGAGAAAGAGACAACCAGGGCUACAGGCUGAUGCUUUAUCAUCCUGA